This is a transfer RNA of Camelus ferus (Wild Bactrian camel), 72 nucleotides long. It matches the Rfam family "tRNA". Rfam says of the family: Transfer RNA (tRNA) molecules are approximately 80 nucleotides in length. Their secondary structure includes four short double-helical elements and three loops (D, anti-codon, and T loops). Further hydrogen bonds mediate the characteristic L-shaped molecular structure. tRNAs have two regions of fundamental functional importance: the anti-codon, which is responsible for specific mRNA codon recognition, and the 3' end, to which the tRNAs corresponding amino acid is attached (by aminoacyl-tRNA synthetases). tRNAs cope with the degeneracy of the genetic code in two manners: having more than one tRNA (with a specific anti-codon) for a particular amino acid; and 'wobble' base-pairing, i.e. permitting non-standard base-pairing at the 3rd anti-codon position. NCBI's taxonomy places the organism in Eukaryota, Metazoa, Chordata, Mammalia, Artiodactyla, Camelidae. The record is from Rfam.
GAGGGUACAGCUCAGUGGUAGAGCGCAUGCUUGGCGUGCACAAGGUCCUGGAUUUAAUCCCCAGUACCUGCA